UACAGCCACAUCAUGUUGAAAAACCAGUUCCCAUCUGAUCACUGAGUUAAGCAAUGUUGAGCCUGAUCAGUACCUAGAUAGGUGACCACUUGGGAAUACAAGGUGCUGUAAG
This is a non-coding RNA of Acanthosepion pharaonis, 112 nucleotides long. Lineage: Eukaryota; Metazoa; Mollusca; Cephalopoda; Sepiida; Sepiidae. The record is from the annotation of a GenBank genome assembly.